ACAGCGGCCUCUAGUGGUCCCUGGGAGACGCGCAGGAGGAGGCUGACUUGGGGUAGCCAGUCAAUAGCAGCCAGCCUGAUGCUUUAUAUUGUAUGCUGCCCUUCCUGGCUGAUGCUUAAGACUUCUAAGGAUGAAGACAGGAGCAGAAUUGGUGGAAGGUGGCAUCAAAAGACAGAACAUGCCAUUAAAACUAGCCAUCUCCUUUGAUCAAAUCUCCAUCCUACCCCUCUAAGAAUGCGGAAACAUAAGAAACACACCUUGCCAGAGUUGCUUUUAAAAUUCACUUUAAUAUGAAGGAAAAUUCUCAGAUAUCCCGUCGUCUUACCGACUUUCCUCCUCCAGAAGUAAACAUGCCUUGGUUCUCAAAGCCCUCUCUUGACUCUUUCUUACUUUUUUUUCCCCCUAAAAAGAAUUGCUUUAGUUUUUAAAUGAAAUGUGAACCUUUUUUCCAAAAUGGAGCUGUCGAGCUUUACCCAAAGUUUAAAAUUCAGCUUUGCUUUCAUCAA
This is a non-coding RNA of Notechis scutatus (mainland tiger snake), 506 nucleotides long. NCBI's taxonomy places the organism in Eukaryota, Metazoa, Chordata, Lepidosauria, Squamata, Elapidae. The record is from RefSeq and is a predicted model, not a curated record.